CCCAGGCGGCGACGCAGCCCCAGUCGGGCGGACGGGCGAGGGCGAGCGCCGGGCUCAGCGCCGCUCCAGCUCCGGCACCGCGCUCCUGCCCACCGCGCGGCCCGCGGCGGGCGGAGUCCGCGAGAGUUUGCCCCGGAGCUCGGGGAAGUUUCCCGCCGAAGCUCCGCUCCCGUGAAAGCAGUCCCUGCCGGCACCCUCAGCUCCCCUAGCCGCUCGUCAGGUUGCUUCACGGAACGAGCACUUAAGAGGAAAAGAAAGGAUCGAAACUCUGGAAAACCAAACUAUGUGGUCUUCAGAAAUGAGAGAUGCAGCCAUCUGAAAUGGUCAUGAACCCCAAACAAGUCUUCCUCUCAGUGCUGAUAUUCGGAGUAGCAGGGCUACUCCUCUUCAUGUAUUUGCAAGUCUGGAUUGAAGAACAACACACAGGACUUAUAAAAGAAAUGCUUAGAAGUGCUUGCAAUUGUCUCACAAACAUAUCGAG
Molecule: non-coding RNA, 481 nt
Organism: Delphinapterus leucas (beluga whale)
Lineage: Eukaryota; Metazoa; Chordata; Mammalia; Artiodactyla; Monodontidae
Source: RefSeq, a predicted model, not a curated record